UUCCUCCUUCCCGACCCCUUUUCCACAGCAACACGGCAAACACCCUUUCACAGCACCACCGCCGACCCACGUUCACCUUCACCACCAAUCACAAACAUCGAUCCAAUCACCAGACACACCCUCGCACCAACAUGCCCCAUCACCUGCGUAUGGCGAGGCUGCUGCGUUUGGAUUGAACAUCCAAUGCUAGAGAUCUAAAGGAUUUGGCUUGCUCUCAAAUCCGGUACUACAGGCUAUUCUGUUCAGCGUUCCAUACGGCCUUGGUAUCGGCCAAACGCUCCAUAUUGAGUUCUGUUGCCACUGAAGUUGCCUCUGUUGAAGAUCUAAGAAUUAUGUGAUGUAGAGGUGGUCUGUGAAUGUAAUGUUUAUGACGACAAUGGGCAUGAAGAUCACGCUGUUGAUUAUGUUUGUAUUCAAUGUAGAAUUUAAGAUGAUCAGAGGAUGGUCCUUAAAUCACUUUGUGACAUGAAGGCAACUUUGGUGGGGUCACUGUGUCCCUGCAUGGUAUGUCAUGCUGGAGGAUGAUUGGCUGAAGGAGUUUGGUGCUUGCAAUGAACACUGGGUGGUUGCAAGAAAUGAGGAUGAGUCUCAAGUGGAGGCUAGUUGAAUAUGUAAUGGGAAGAAGAUUCAUUUAAGUCCAGAUCCUGACAUGCUUGAUACAUGGUUUUCUUCUGGUCCCUUUCCAUUAACUGUUUUGGGCUGACCUGACAAUACAGAAGAUCUAAAGACAUUUUAUGCAACUUCGGUUUUGGAAACUGGCCAUGAUAUUCACUUUUUAUGGGUUGCUCGCAUGGUAAUGCUAGGAAUGAAGUUGGGUGGUGAUGUACCUUUUAGAAAGGAUUUAUUCAGCUGGCGAUGCUCCUUUGCUCUAGCUCAAGUUGGAUCUUCUCCCCAUAAGAACUGGUGGAGGCAGAGCCACAGAGGUUGUGGUUUCAAGAGAUACUAUGUGACGUGUAAAUUACCAAUAAAAAGAUAGGUAUCUAUAUGUUCAGAUAAAGGAUGAAUGGUUUCUUGUCAAUAUUGAGCAGGAAGGGAUGCAUAUCCACAAGAUAUGACCUAGGGCAUUAUUUGUCUUCUGAAAUAGUGGCAGUGAAACCAGAAAAGGUCCUUAUGGACCUUUCACAUAACUCUUAUCUUCUGACCUGGUGUUCACUCUAUCAAUAAAAUGCAUACUUGAAUUUGUGCAAACUCUUUUAUUGUAGCCACUGGGAAACUUCUCAGACACAUUGUGGUGUGUUUAUUUUCCAUGACACCAGAAACAUUUGGGAGCUACAUCAUCAGAUGAUUGUAAAACAAAUAAAGAGCCUCUUUCCCCCUGAGUUUUCAGUUUAUAACUCAAGAAAUGGGGCCUAACUGCUUCUUCUUUCUUAUAUCAUAUCAUUAGCAGGGUUGAGGGUUAUGGUAAGGGAGUAUGAAUGCUCUUGCCCAAUUUCAGUCUGGUGGCCUUAACAAAUUUAUUUGAUAUAUAUGGUUGUGCUACAAGUACUAGUUAAAGCUAUUUGCAGAUAUGUAUACAUGCAUGUAUGUAUAUAGAUGCCAAUCCUCUUUGGAUCAAAUGUCAUCUCCUUCUGUAAACAAUAGCUGCAGGGUGAGUUUAUUAGUUCAAUCCCAUACAGAUGCAUAAGUUGUAUUAUUUCAACAACCAAAAUAAAGCCUUAGUCCAAAUGGGGCUGGCUAUGGAUUCUCAAUAGACCAAUAGGAGUCAAUUAUGCAUAAGUUACUAACUUAUAAAAAAAUGUAUUCGGUAUAUUCGAAAUUUUUUAUUAUUAUUUUCUAUGUAGUGUACAUAUUCCUGUGCAAAACUACUAUAUUAACUGAGGUGACGUGAUCUGAUUGAAGCACCUUAAACUCUAUGCAGGUUUAUUUGCAUCCCAUGAUAUGCACAUGGGCGCAAGAUGCUUAAGUCCUUGGGAAAUGUCAUUGAUCCGCUUGAAGUAAUAAAUGAGAUAUCCUUGGAAGGUCUUCAUAAGAGACUAGGGGAGGGUAACUUAGAUCCCAAGGAACUGACUGUUUCUGAAUGUGGUGCUGAUGCUCUCUGCUUUGCACUAAUUUCUUACACAGCUCAGUCUGAUAAAAUAAAUCUGGAUAUCCAAAGGGUGGUUGGGUAUUGUCAGUGGUGUAAUAAAUUGUGGAAUGUUGUAUGAUAUUCUAUGAGCAGGCUUGGGGAUGAUUAUGUUCCGCCCACAAAUGUAAAUCCAAAUGACUUGCUGUUUAGUUAUCAGUGGAUACUCUCAGUAUUAAACAAAGCUAUGUCCAAAAAAAUUAUGGAUUUGGAGUCAUAUGAAUUCUCAGAUGCAGCAAGUACUGUGCAUUCCUGGUGGCAAUGCUGUGUGAUAUUUGUAUUGAAGCAAUUAAGCCUUUCUUUGCUGGGAGUAAUCAAAAGUUUGAGUCUGAGAGGACACACUUUGGUUAUAUCUUGACAAUGGGUUGUGAUUGCUUCAUCCUUUUAUGCCAUAUGUUACAGAAAAAAUAUGGCAGCGGCUUUCUUCAUCAAGGGACCAUACAGCGAUAGAAUCAAUUAUGAUAUGCAAGUACCCAUCAAUUUUAGAGGGCUGGACAAAUGAACAGUAGAAUAUGAGAUGGAUCUUGUAGAUUCUGCAGUGAAAUCUCUCAGGUCACUUGUAAAUGAAAGACGUGAAAGGCAACCAGCUUUUGUGCUUUGCAGAAAUAAAGCAUUUGCAAAGAUUAUUGACAGCCAUCAACGGGAAAUUAUUACUCUUGCCAAUUUGUCAACUUGAACGGUAUGUUGCAAAUGUUGCUCUUAAAGUGGCUCUCGUACAUUCAUGUUUGAGACAGUACUUAUCAAAAAAAUGAUACACACACAUUUCAGACAUUGCUUUCUUCUACAUAUUGAAGUUCUCAACAAUCAAGUAUAUGCAUGCAAAGCAGUUUGAUAUACCAUAAUGACAUGUUUUCUUUAAAAAAUUUUAGCGAUUUUUAAUCUGAUUUUCUUAGAGUAUCCAUACUAUGCCAAAAUCUUAGUGCUCUUUUAUAAAUUGGUUUUCAUUUUCCGGAAUUGAAAAAAAUAUAUACAAUUUUUUAUUUUGAUACUGAUUUUGGCUAGAGCAAGUGAAGCUAAUAUCUAAAAUUUAAUGUUCCUUCUGAGCCAAGUUCAGUCCAAGUAUUCAAUCCAUGGACAAGAUAAUGUUAUUUGAUUUUCUUUGCCUGUCUUUGUAUUGUAUGUUUUAUAUUAGUGAAGUCUAUGUAUUAAAAUGCUCCUGAGUAAUUAUUCUGCUACUGUAUCUCUUUAAAUUACUGAUGGAUUUUAAAUGGCACUUCCAAUUUAAAAAGUAGAAAAACGAUAAGAAAUGGUGUAAAAUUUGGGUGGUGUAAAAUUUGGGAAUGAUGUUGGGAAGGGCAUGAAACGCUUCAAAACAUUAAACAAAAGAUUAAGUAUCAAAGAAAGGCUUAGUUGCUGUUGUAUUUAGUAUCAAAGAAAGACAAAAUUCUACAUUCUUCAGGCCCAAAAAAAAAAAA
Quercus lobata is the source of this 3477-nucleotide long non-coding RNA. RefSeq lists it as uncharacterized. The record is from RefSeq and is a predicted model, not a curated record. Lineage: Eukaryota; Viridiplantae; Streptophyta; Magnoliopsida; Fagales; Fagaceae. The transcript is spliced from 9 exons.